Molecule: ribosomal RNA, 497 nt
Filed under: uncultured bacterium
Lineage: Bacteria
Description: partial 16S ribosomal RNA
Rfam family: Bacterial small subunit ribosomal RNA
Source: RNAcentral
GAUGAACGCUGGCGGCGUGCCUAAUACAUGCAAGUCGAGCGAACAGAUGAGGAGCUUGCUCUUCUGACGUUAGCGGCGGACGGGUGAGUAACACGUGGAUAACCUACCUAUAAGACUGGGAUAACUUCGGGAAACCGGAGCUAAUACCGGAUAAUAUAUUGAACCGCAUGGUUCAAUAGUGAAAGACGGUUUUGCUGUCACUUAUAGAUGGAUCCGCGCGGCAUUAGCUAGUUGGUAAGGUAAUGGCUUACCAAGGCAACGAUGCGUAGCCGACCUGAGAGGGUGAUCGGCCACACUGGAACUGAGCCACGGUCCAGACUCCUACGGGAGGCAGCAGUAGGGAAUCUUCCGCAAUGGGCGAAAGCCUGACGGAGCAACGCCGCGUGAGUGAUGAAGGUCUUCGGAUCGUAAAACUCUGUUAUUAGGGAAGAACAAAUGUGUAAGUAACUAUGCACGUCUUGACGGUACCUAAUCAGAAAGCCACGGCUAACUACGUG